AGUGAACGCUGGCGGUAGGCCUAACACAUGCAAGUCGAACGGCAGCACAGUAAGAGCUUGCUCUUACGGGUGGCGAGUGGCGGACGGGUGAGGAAUACAUCGGAAUCUACUUUUUCGUGGGGGAUAACGUAGGGAAACUUACGCUAAUACCGCAUACGACCUACGGGUGAAAGCAGGGGAUCUUCGGACCUUUCGCGAUUGAAUGAGCCGAUGUCGGAUUAGCUAGUUGGCGGGGUAAAGGCCCACCAAAGCGACGAUCCGUAGCUGGUCUGAGAGGAUGAUCAGCCACACUGGAACUGAGACACGGUCCAGACUCCUACGGGAGGCAGCAGUGGGGAAUAUUGGACAAUGGGCGCAAGCCUGAUCCAGCCAUACCGCGUGGGUGAAGAAGGCCUUCGGGUUGUAAAGCCCUUUUGUUGGGAAAGAAAAGCAGCAGGUUAAUACCCCGCUGUUCUGACGGUACCCAAAGAAUAAGCACCGGCAAACUUCGU
This 491-nucleotide ribosomal RNA is filed under the name uncultured bacterium. Its description in RNAcentral is "partial 16S ribosomal RNA". It matches the Rfam family "Bacterial small subunit ribosomal RNA", at positions 29 to 506 of the family's 1533-position model. The record is from RNAcentral.